GACGAACGCUGGCGGCGUGCCUAAUACAUGCAAGUAGAACGCACAGUUUAUACCGUAGCUUGCUACACCAUAGACUGUGAGUUGCGAACGGGUGAGUAACGCGUAGGUAACCUGCCUGGUAGCGGGGGAUAACUAUUGGAAACGAUAGCUAAUACCGCAUAAUAUUAAUUAUUGCAUGAUAAUUAAUUGAAAGGUGCAAUUGCACCACUACCAGAUGGACCUGCGUUGUAUUAGCUAGUAGGUGAGGUAACGGCUCACCUAGGCGACGAUACAUAGCCAACCUGAGAGGGUGAUCGGCCACACUGGGACUGAGACACGGCCCAGACUCCUACGGGAGGCAGCAGUAGGGAAUCUUCGGCAAUGGACGAAAGUCUGACCGAGCAACGCCGCGUGAGUGAAGAAGGUUUUCGGAUCGUAAAGCUCUGUUGUAAGAGAAGAACGGGUGUGAGAGUGGAAAGUUCACACUGUGACGGUAUCUGACCAGAAAGGGACGGCUAACUACGUG
Molecule: ribosomal RNA, 505 nt
Filed under: uncultured bacterium
Lineage: Bacteria
Description: partial 16S ribosomal RNA
Rfam family: Bacterial small subunit ribosomal RNA
Source: RNAcentral